This 397-nucleotide ribosomal RNA is filed under the name uncultured bacterium. RNAcentral describes it as "partial 16S ribosomal RNA". It matches the Rfam family "Bacterial small subunit ribosomal RNA", at positions 523 to 918 of the family's 1533-position model. The record is from RNAcentral.
AUACGUAGGGGGCGAGCGUUGUCCGGAAUGAUUGGGCGUAAGGGGCGCGUAGGCGGCCCGGUAAGUCUGGAGUGAAAGUCCUGUUUUUAAGAUGGGAAUUGCUUUGGAUACUGUCGGGCUUGAGUGCAGGAGAGGUAAGUGGAAUUCCCAGUGUAGCGGUGAAAUGCGUAGAGAUUGGGAGGAACACCAGUGGCGAAGGCGACUUACUGGACUGUAACUGACGCUGAGGCGCGAAAGUGUGGGGAGCAAACAGGAUUAGAUACCCUGGUAGUCCACACUGUAAACGAUGAAUGCUAGGUGUAGGGGGUAUCGACCCCUUCUGUGCCGCAGUCAACACAAUAAGCAUUCCGCCUGGGGAGUACGGCCGCAAGGUUGAAACUCAAAGGAAUUGACGGGG